UACGGAGGGGGCGAGCGUUAUUCGGAAUUAUUGGGCGUAAAGGGCGCGUAGGCGGCUGUACAAGUCAAAGGUGAAAUCCCUCGGCUCAACUGAGGAACUGCCUUUGAAACUGUACGGCUUGAGGCCGGGAGGGGGUAGCGGAAUUCCCAGUGUAGCGGUGAAAUGCGUAGAGAUCAUGAGGAAGACCAGUGGCGAAGGCGGGUCUCUGGACAGUUCCUGACACUGAGGCACGAAGGCCAGGGGAGCAAACGGG
RNAcentral lists this ribosomal RNA (253 nucleotides) under uncultured bacterium. Its description in RNAcentral is "partial 16S ribosomal RNA". It matches the Rfam family "Bacterial small subunit ribosomal RNA", at positions 524 to 776 of the family's 1533-position model. The record is from RNAcentral.